This 403-nucleotide unclassified non-coding RNA is filed under the name soil metagenome. RNAcentral describes it as "partial contains 5.8S ribosomal RNA, internal transcribed spacer 2, and large subunit ribosomal RNA". The stretch from base 3 to 121 matches the Rfam family "5.8S ribosomal RNA", at positions 38 to 154 of the family's 154-position model. The record is from RNAcentral.
GAGAAGAACGUAGCAAAAUGCGAUACUUGGUGUGAAUUGCAGAAUCCCGUGAACCAUCGAGUUUUUGAACGCAAGUUGCGCCCGAAGCCUUUUGGCCGAGGGCACGUCUGCCUGGGCGUCACGCAUCGCGUCGCCCCCCACAAUUCUCCGUAAAGGGAACAUGUGUUUUGGGGGCGGAUAUUGGUCUCCCGUGCUCAUGGCGUGGUUGGCCGAAAUAGGAGUCCUUUCGAUGGACGCACGGACUAGUGGUGGUCGUAAAAACCCUCGUCUUUUGUUUCGUGCUGUUGGUCGCAAGGUAAACUCUUUAAAAACCCCAAUGUGUCGUCUCUUGACGACGCUUCGACCGCGACCCCAGGUCAGGCGGGACUACCCGCUGAGUUUAAGCAUAUCAAUAAGCGGAGGA